GCCAUGGCGCGGGAUUCUCGGGAGGCAGCAGCAAGGAAUUUUGGGCAAUGGGCGAMAGCCGGACCCAGCGACGCCGUGUGGGGGAYGACGGCCYUCGGGUUGUAAACCCUUUUUCUCAGGGAAGAAUAAUGACGGUACCUGAGGAAUAAGUCUCGGCCAACUACGUGCCAGCAGCCGCGGUAAUACGUAGGAGGCAAGCGUUAUCCGGAUUUACUGGGCGUAAAGUGGGUGUAGGCGGCUUUUCAAGUCGGAUGUGAAAUCUCCCGGCUUAACCGGGGAGGGGUCAUUCGAUACUUGUUUGGGCUUGAGGGCAGGAGAAGGAGGUGGAAUUCCCGGUGUAGUGGUGAAAUGCGUAGAUAUCGGGAGGAACACCAGUGGCGAAGGCGGCCUCCUAGGCUGUUCCUGACGCUGAGGCCCGAAAGCGUGGGGAGCGAACAGGAUUAGAUACCCUGGUAGUCCACGCCGUAAACGAUGGACACUAGGUAUAGGGAGUAUCGACCCUCUCUGUGCCGCAGUUAACACAUUAAGUGUCCCGCCUGGGGAGUACGGCCGCAAGS
Molecule: ribosomal RNA, 557 nt
Filed under: uncultured bacterium
Lineage: Bacteria
Description: bacterial SSU rRNA
Rfam family: Bacterial small subunit ribosomal RNA
Source: RNAcentral